Molecule: long non-coding RNA, 526 nt
Filed under: Dermacentor andersoni
Lineage: Eukaryota; Metazoa; Arthropoda; Arachnida; Ixodida; Ixodidae
Description: uncharacterized LOC126535314
Source: RNAcentral
GUUGGAGCUCUGCCUGUGCUCUGCUGCGCAGCGUGGCAGUUGGCUACUUUCAUGGCGCUCGCAUUCACCGUGAAAUGGCAAAGCGGCUUGUGGAAACGGAUCAUCAACUUCCACGACGCUCGCUUGGAGAAAAUGAAUGAUCUGCUAUCGUGCGUGAGAUUAGUAAAACUGUAUGCUUGGGAGGAAACCUUCGCCAGUGCGUUGGCGAAACUGAGGCGUGAAGAGGUCCUGCAGCAAUUCUACGCGAAUAUUGUGGAUGGAUUCUACGAUUCCCUUCUAGUAUCUUCAAGCGCUGUUAUGACUACCAUACUGUUCGCGACGCUAUCUUGGUUUCAUCCUGAGACACGUAUAACUGCCUCGCUUUCGUUUCCCUGCAUAUACGCCAUGACACUUCUGGAUAUUGCCAAUGUAAACAUAGUCUCCAUUACGAGGUUCCUAUCCAUGUGUUUUCAUGGCGUAAAAAGGAUCACAAAGGCAUGUUCCGAAGUGGAAACGUGCAACACGACAAAUGAAGAGAACAGUCAGG